CCCUUAGAUGCUCUGGGCCGCACGCGCGCUACACUGGUCGAUGCAACGAGUUUCUUUCCUUGGCCGACAGGCCUGGGCAAUCUUUGAACAUCGAUCGUGGUCGGGAUAGAUUCUUGUAAUUUUUGAUCUUAAACGAGGAAUUCCUAGUAAACGCAAGUCAUCAGCUUGCAUUGAUUACGUCCCUGCCCUUUGUACACACCGCCCGUCGCACCUACCGAUUGAAUGGUCCGGUGAAAUCUCCGGACUGGCGUGAGUCGGAGCAAUCUGACAAACACCGGAAAGUUGAUUAAACCUUACCAUUUAGAGGAAGGUGAAGUCGUAACA
This 324-nucleotide ribosomal RNA is filed under the name uncultured eukaryote. Its description in RNAcentral is "partial 18S ribosomal RNA". It matches the Rfam family "Eukaryotic small subunit ribosomal RNA", at positions 1470 to 1796 of the family's 1831-position model. The record is from RNAcentral.